UACGUAGGUGGCAAGCGUUAUCCGGAAUUAUUGGGCGUAAAGCGCGCGCAGGUGGUUUCUUAAGUCUGAUGUGAAAGCCUACAGCUCAACCGUGGAGGGUCAUUGGAAACUGGGAGACUUGAGUGCAGAAGAGGAAAGUGGAAUUCCAUGUGUAGCGGUGAAAUGCGUAGAGAUAUGGAGGAACACCAGUGGCGAAGGCGACUUUCUGGUCUGUAACUGACACUGAGGCGCGAAAGCGUGGGGAGCAAACAGG
Molecule: ribosomal RNA, 253 nt
Filed under: uncultured bacterium
Lineage: Bacteria
Description: partial 16S ribosomal RNA
Rfam family: Bacterial small subunit ribosomal RNA
Source: RNAcentral